GUAGGUGAACCUGCGGAAGGAUCAUUAACGAAUCUAAUCCGCCGAGGGGAAUGGAGGGGGGGUUGUCGCUGGCCUUUUGCGAGGCAUGUGCACGCUUUUCUUUCGGACCCUUCGUCGUCUUUCAAACUAACUUGUGCACCUAAUGUAGGAUGCCCUUUCUUUCGGGAGAGGGGGACCUAUGUAUUCAUACCAUCUUCGUGUAGAAAGUCUCAGAAUGUUUUUUACUACCGUCGAGUCGUGACUUCUAGGAGACGCGAAUCUUCGGGACAAAAGUUAUUACAACUUUCAGCAAUGGAUCUCUUGGCUCUC
Molecule: unclassified non-coding RNA, 309 nt
Filed under: rhizosphere metagenome
Description: partial ribosomal RNA internal transcribed spacer region
Source: RNAcentral